GUUGAAACUCUUCUUUUUUCCCCUUUCUCUUUUCCAUUUUUCUUGGCUGUUAUUAGCACUGUGUGGUGCUGGCCCUGCCAGCAUGUCCCGUCCUCUGAAGGUGCCCCAUUGCCACAGUGUCCCAUGGGUCUACUGGGGCUGGUGAUAGGCUUUGCUUUGAUCAGCUCUUUAGGAGAAGGUGUAAAUUGCCAGAUAGGGCAGUACCUCAAAACUGCUUUUGUGACCUGCCUCUGAGACACUUUUGAAGGUGAGCCUAAAUCUGUAGCCACACCAGGAUUUAAGUCAUCAUGAAAUAAAACUGCUACUAAAAAUCCCACUCUCUCUGGACUUUCCCCAAGUCUCUCUGGACUUGGUCUGCUCUUUCGUUUGUAGGUCUGUGUCCAGAGACGCAAAUUGUUUCUUCAUGCUGGUCCUGAGGUAGGAUUUGAACUAUGCUGUCCUCUUCUUGUCUACUAUAGGUGAUGUGGAGAGCAGGACUCACCCUUGUCUUUUCACUGAUUGUGCAGUCUGCUGUCCUUAACAGAAGCCUCAGCUCCUGUUGCCUGAAGCAAGGUCUCUGGAGGCUGAAAAUCAGCAGGACAGGAGAUGGUACCUCCCAUUGUCCAUGGAUUAGCUGCUGAACUUCAAACAUGUAUUUCAAAAGUAAUAAGAGCAAACCUGGGGCAGCAGACCCUGCUCCCUUCUGUACUUUUCCUGCAUGGAGCCAACAGCAGCUGUGACAUUUUCCAGCUCAGAAUCCAGCACAAUCCAGCACUAUACAGAUAUACAGAUAUACAGAUAUACAGUAUGUGUUCCAUACUUGUCUCUACCAGCCUCUGA
RNAcentral lists this long non-coding RNA (819 nucleotides) under Cyanistes caeruleus (blue tit). RNAcentral describes it as "lncRNA (ENSCCEG00000016367.1)". Lineage: Eukaryota; Metazoa; Chordata; Aves; Passeriformes; Paridae. The record is from RNAcentral.